Molecule: microRNA precursor, 95 nt
Filed under: Dipodomys ordii (Ord's kangaroo rat)
Lineage: Eukaryota; Metazoa; Chordata; Mammalia; Rodentia; Heteromyidae
Description: mir-490 microRNA precursor family
Rfam family: mir-490 microRNA precursor family
Source: Rfam by way of RNAcentral
UGGAAAGUUCAUUGUUCGACACCAUGGAUCUCCAGGUGGGUCACGUUUAGAGAUACACCAACCUGGAAGACUCCAUGCUGUUGAGCUGUUCAUGA